UUGCAUUUCAUAAGCGGAGGAAAAGAAACUAACAAGGAUUCCCCUAGUAACGGCGAGUGAAGAGGGAAGAGCUCAAAUUUGAAAGCUGGUACCUUCGGUAUCCGCGUUGUAACCUCGAGACACGUUUUCCGUGCGGCGCUAUGGACAAGUUCCUUGGAACAGGACAUCGUAGAGGGUGAAAAUCCCGUACUUGCCAUGGAUGUACCGUGCUUUGCGAUACGUGCUCUAAGAGUCGAGUUGUUUGGGAUUGCAGCUCAAAAUGGGUGGUAGACUCCAUCUAAAGCUAAAUAUCGGGGAGAGACCGAUAGCGAACAAGUACCGUGAGGGAAAGAUGAAAAGCACUUUGGAAAGAGAGUUAAAAGUACGUGAAAUUGUCGAAAGGGAAGCGCUUGAAGUCAGCCAUGCCGCUCAGGACUCAGCCUGGCUUUUGCUUGGUGUAUUUCCUGGGUAGCAAGUCAGCAUUGGUUUGGAUCGUCGGAGAAGCAUAGUCGGAAUGUGGCGCCCUCGGGCGUGUUAUAGCCUUCUAUUGGAUACGACGAUCUAGACCAAGGAACGCAGCGCGCCUUAUGGCGGGUCUUCGGACACCUUCGCGCUUAGGAUGCUGGCGUAAUGGCUUUAAGUGGCCCGUCUUGAACAGGGACCAAU
This 645-nucleotide ribosomal RNA is filed under the name Malassezia furfur. RNAcentral describes it as "LSU rRNA". It matches the Rfam family "Eukaryotic large subunit ribosomal RNA", at positions 33 to 670 of the family's 3401-position model. Lineage: Eukaryota; Fungi; Basidiomycota; Malasseziomycetes; Malasseziales; Malasseziaceae. The record is from RNAcentral.